UUGCUUCUCUGGAUGAGUUGCGAACGGGUGAGUAACGCGUAGGUAACCUGCCUGGUAGCGGGGGAUAACUAUUGGAAACGAUAGCUAAUACCGCAUAAGAGUAGAUGUUGCAUGACAUUUGCUUAAAAGGUGCAAAUGCAUCACUACCAGAUGGACCUGCGUUGUAUUAGCUAGUUGGUAAGGUAACGGCUUACCAAGGCAACGAUGCAUAGCCGACCUGAGAGGGUGAUCGGCCACACUGGAACUGAGACACGGUCCAGACUCCUACGGGAGGCAGCAGUAGGGAAUCUUCCGCAAUGGGCGAAAGCCUGACGGAGCAACGCCGCGUGAGUGAUGAAGGUCUUCGGAUCGUAAAACUCUGUUAUUAGGGAAGAACAUAUGUGUAAGUAACUGUGCACAUCUUGACGGUACCUAAUCAGAAAGCCACGGCUAACUACGUGCCAGCAGCCGCGGUAAUACGUAGGUGGCAAGCGUUAUCCGGAAUUAUUGGGCGUAAAGCGCGCGUAGGCGGUUUUUAAGUCUGAUGUGAAAGCCCACGGCUCAACUGUGGAGGGUCAUUGGAAACUGGAAAACUUGAGUGCAGAAGAGGAGAGUGGAAUUCCAUGUGUAGCGGUGAAAUGCGCAGAGAUAUGGAGGAACACCAGUGGCGAAGGCGACUUUCUGGUCUGUAACUGACGCUGAUGUGCGAAAGCGUGGGGAUCAAACAGGAUUAG
Molecule: ribosomal RNA, 713 nt
Filed under: uncultured Staphylococcus sp.
Lineage: Bacteria; Bacillati; Bacillota; Bacilli; Caryophanales; Staphylococcaceae
Description: bacterial SSU rRNA
Rfam family: Bacterial small subunit ribosomal RNA
Source: RNAcentral